GAGAUAUAUGGAGCUUGCUUUAUAUAACUUAGCAGCGAACGGGUGAGUAACACGUAGAUAAUCUAUCCUAUACUGGGGAAUAGCCCGAUGAAAGUUGGAUUAAUACCGCAUAUAGCUAUAUAGUUGCAUGAUUAUGUAGUGAAAGAUUUAUUGGUAUAGGAGGAGUCUGCGGCACAUUAGCUAGUAGGUGAGGUAAAGGCUUACCUAGGCAACGAUGUGUAGCCGGUCUGAGAGGAUGAACGGCCACAAUGGAACUGAGACACGGUCCAUACUCCUACGGGAGGCAGCAGUGGGGAAUAUUGCACAAUGGGGGAAACCCUGAUGCAGCAACGCCGCGUGAGUGAAGAAGGUUUUCGGAUUGUAAAGCUCUGUUAGCAGGGAAGAGGAAGGACGGUACCUGCAGAGGAAGCCACGGCUAACUACGUGCCAGCAGCCGCGGUAAUACGUAGGUGGCAAGCGUUGUUCGGAAUAACUGGGCGUAAAGGAUGCGUAGGCGGUUAAACAAGUUAUAUGUUAAAUAUAUAGGCUUAACCUGUAGAAAGCAUAUAAAACUGUUUAACUAGAGUGCAGGAGAGGUAAGUGGAAUUCCUAGUGUAGCGGUGAAAUGCGUAGAGAUUAGGAAGAACACCAGUGGCGAAGGCGACUUACUGGACUGUAACUGACGCUGAGGCAUGAGAGCAUGGGGAGCAAACAGGAUUAGAUACCCUGGUAGUCCAUGCUGUAAACGAUGGGUACUAGGUGUGGGUUGUGAAUAACAAUUCGUGCCGU
This 768-nucleotide ribosomal RNA is filed under the name uncultured bacterium. RNAcentral describes it as "bacterial SSU rRNA". It matches the Rfam family "Bacterial small subunit ribosomal RNA", at positions 68 to 849 of the family's 1533-position model. The record is from RNAcentral.